Molecule: ribosomal RNA, 28 nt
Filed under: Mus musculus (house mouse)
Lineage: Eukaryota; Metazoa; Chordata; Mammalia; Rodentia; Muridae
Also listed under: 1 other name
Description: piRNA piR-mmu-68312219
Source: RNAcentral
CGUAGGUGAACCUGUGGAAGGAUCAUUA